GGAGCAGUAGCAGAGUGGUGAUGCUUGUGUCUGGAGUUCAGAAGGGCAUGGGUUCGAAUCCCCUCUGCCCCC
RNAcentral lists this transfer RNA (72 nucleotides) under Hordeum vulgare. RNAcentral describes it as "tRNA-Ser". It matches the Rfam family "tRNA". From Rfam's summary of the family: Transfer RNA (tRNA) molecules are approximately 80 nucleotides in length. Their secondary structure includes four short double-helical elements and three loops (D, anti-codon, and T loops). Further hydrogen bonds mediate the characteristic L-shaped molecular structure. tRNAs have two regions of fundamental functional importance: the anti-codon, which is responsible for specific mRNA codon recognition, and the 3' end, to which the tRNAs corresponding amino acid is attached (by aminoacyl-tRNA synthetases). tRNAs cope with the degeneracy of the genetic code in two manners: having more than one tRNA (with a specific anti-codon) for a particular amino acid; and 'wobble' base-pairing, i.e. permitting non-standard base-pairing at the 3rd anti-codon position. Lineage: Eukaryota; Viridiplantae; Streptophyta; Magnoliopsida; Poales; Poaceae. RNAcentral also lists the same sequence under 1 other name. The record is from RNAcentral.